CAGUAACCAUGGUAGCAUCUUGAGCCCAAGAACAGUGUUACUGCCAUUUAAUGCCGCGAUGUUUUAGCUCCAGGAAUUUGGACCCUCCUGCGAUAAGAAUCAGUUGAAAAGGAAAAUUCGUGCAACAGGGAUUUGACCCUAAACUCUUUUGAUUAUACAAACUACAAAGUGAUCUAAUUUCCAUUUUCUCCCUAUGCAGUCAAUCAAAAGUCUUAUUGGCACUUCUUGCUGCUACUACAUUCAUGAUGACCACUGUGUCAAGCCUUCCAAGUAUCUGCUCUCCUGAUGUUUACACAAGGGAGACGCUACUAAGGAAGCAGAACAUGGAGAAGUUUUCUUGAUGUUUACACAAGGGAGAUGAUACUAAAGAAGCAGAUCGCGAAGAAGUUUCAAUGAAUUAGAGAGUUAUAGAUGCCAGCUGGUCCUCUACAUAUCUGUUACCUGAUAAAAAUAAGAAAAAUGCAUGUGCUGCAUUCAUUAAGGCUAAUAGUUCUCAAUUUUGCCAAUGGUAAUGGGCUGUUGGGUAUCAACCGAAUGACAAUAGUGGCCUGAGGGGUGGUAACAUGGUUGCCUCUUGCGGAAUAGCCAUUUAGAUAUUAUUUUGUUGUGUAAUCUUAAUCUCCAUCCAAAUCAUAUUUAAUUUGUAUGUUAAUCUUCUCCUGGUGGAACGCA
Triticum aestivum (bread wheat) is the source of this 672-nucleotide long non-coding RNA. RefSeq lists it as uncharacterized. NCBI's taxonomy places the organism in Eukaryota, Viridiplantae, Streptophyta, Magnoliopsida, Poales, Poaceae. The transcript has 2 exons. The record is from RefSeq and is a predicted model, not a curated record.